GUUAGUUAUGAAUUAAGAAGAGAAAUUGAUCAAAUCGGAAAAUACAAUGAAGUUGCAACACUUCCAUCAUGAAGUUGCAACGCUCUGACGUCAGGUGGCGUACGAGCAGAGCGGGGUGAAGUCGGGGGAGUCACUACGGAGCCGUCGUGUCGAGCGGACGUGCACUGCCGUUCUAGUCUGGCAGUCUACCGCGAACCAUCGUCAUGAGCGGACGUGUCGAAUAAUUACGAGGAGUGCUAUAGUCGCUCACCUAUAACUUGUAGGGACGUCAAGAAAGUGUGAUCGGAAAAGAGCGCCUAGCAAGUACGUUCACAUGUCCCGAUGAUUCGGUCUGAAUAUAGGAACCAUGGGUGGUGGAGGGCAAGUAGAGGGCGAGUAGCCCCUUCGCGCUAACGUCCUUAUGCGCGCUAGAUAACGAGAGACUGUGUAACCGUUACGAAUACCGUGACGUUGCCGUGAGUGUGUACCUUAUGCUGUGACUUUAUUUAAUCGUGAUACAAAAACUAUGUGGAAGUAAAUAAAAUGAUUGUGAUACUGAUGACGGCCAUUAUUGUCUUCUAACGCCCACCCUCCAUUCUGAUGAUGAUGUUACGCGACCCACACUGUUACGACCGACACACCCACUAAUUACGACAUCAGAAGUGGGAUUAGUGAACUUGGAUGAAGACAAUGUGAUGCGACGUUCACAACAAGACAAUGUAAGUUUGGAUUAUCACAAUCAGAAGAAGAUUAUGAUGACUAUCACAUUCGUGUGAUCACGUGAUGAAGAUGUAGUGUCCAUUGAAGAUGGACCUGAAUUUGAAGUGACCUGGACCUUGUUAAUGAUCGGCAUCACUACAUGCCGUGAGAUAUGAUGGCGUGAACAUCACAAUAUUUCCAUACUGUGUGCAGUCGUGUUUGGAAAUUAUGGUACCUCAACUUGGAAACUGUUAUUACGGUGAGUCGUUUUCAUACUGGAACCUUAUUGUUUUUGACUUUAUUGCUGUGUAUUUCCGUUUCUAAUAGUAAGGAAAUUGCUUGUUUUUAAAAUCAAAAUUGACGAGACAUAUGGUGUCAAUCCGUGUCAAUCAUACCGCGUUUUCCAAUCUGUUUUCAUCAUCGUCAAAUCUUUGUAUUUUGGUCUAAAAAUAUUUCGAAUUGGUGUAGACACGCUUGACCUGCGUGGUUAAAGUUGUAUUUUCUCACUCCAAGCAAAAAGAAAUUAAUCAUGACAUGAUAAUUGAGUCUCGUUAAAUAACGUGUUUUGUAAUCUACCGUCAUUCAUCAAAUGUUUCAAUAUUCAAUAUUCUUUAUUUGUAAUCUUUUUAAACCGAUUGAAAGAAAGUCACUUGAAUACGAUAAUACAGUGAAUUCUUUUGUUUCAUGUCAUAACUUGCCACGUGGUUCGGCAAUUGGUGGAUUGCAAGCGGAGAUGAAAAUGGCGCGGGCUGAGCUGUAGCCGUGUAAAGUGACGACAUCAUGGCAGCGAGUUGUAUACCAGCCGGACUUGCUGCGCUGGUGCUGUGAAGACCUAAACCAUGUCACAAGACCAGUGGUUGAUCUUUUAUUGGAAAUUCUUAUAUGUCCUGGUGAGUCGUAUCUGUUUUACCUGAUUUGAAAUAUGGGAAGUUUUAAUAGGAUACAAACGAAUAUAGUGGUCGGGGUGUCGCAAAAAGGGUCCCAUACAAAAUUAGGACUUAGAAAAUUGAAAAGAAAGUUGUCUUUUGUUAAAUUUAGUUAAAUUGGAAACCGUAAUGAAGUGAAGUAAACAUUGCGAAGUAAAAUGAUUUGGAUUAUGAUUAAAUGAAAUAGGCUUAGAAAAAGCCCGAAACAGAGUAAAUCAUUCGUGAGAAAAUUGGAACAAAACAUUCUAAAUGAUGAUCAUACCGAAUUGGUAAUUGUUUAAGUGCGGUAAUAUUUCCUCGAGGUGUUGGUCGCUACAUUGUGACUUUAUGACUUGUGUGUGUGAGAGCAGGGUGCUCUGUCAUUUUGUGGUCGUGGACCAUGGUGGCCAUCCCGGGAGGGGAUGUUGUGACUUAUGACUGUUUUGUAGCGUAACCACAGUUUGGGGAGGAAUAUUACAGUCUGUUGUGCUUUGCAGUAGAUGUGUAAUAAUGUUAAUUGAUUUAAUUGAGUAAUGAAAGCUAUGAUUGACCUGUUUCGGAGCAACUCUAAUAGGAAGCUGCGCACUUGUAGUGUUCGGGGCUGCAGCCACUUUUGUGCUGCUCGUCUUAGAAACUACAGGUAUGCGGUCGAAGCCUGGAUGUCAUGUUGACUUUGUAUUUGGUCAUGACAUUGUACUUGAAUCUAAGUCAAGUUGACUUCCGGUAGAAUUAGUCAAACUACACGAAUUAGAAAUUAGUGAUGUAGAAGAAAUUUGUAACCCAUGGACCACUAUUCUACCAACUAAAAUGUAAAGUUUGUGUGCUAGCUGUGUUGAGAUAUCGUCACUUGGUGCAAGUGGCAUGAGUUGCUGUCGCUCGAUUUAGGUGGCAGUAACGACUGUGUUGAGAUAUCGUCACUUGGUGUAAGUGGCAUGAGUUGCUGUCGCUCGAUUUAGGUGGCAGUAACGACUGUGUUGAGAUAUCGUCACUUGGUGUAAGUGGCAUGAGUUGCUGUCGCUCGGUUUAGGUGGCAGCAACGACUGUGUUGAGAUAUCGUCACUUGGUGUAAGUGGCAUGAGUUGCUACCGCUCGAUUUAGGUGGUAGUGACGCCUGGUUGUGAGAUAUCGUCACUUGGUGUAAGUGGCAUGAGUUGCUACCGCUCGAUUUAGGUGGUAGUGACGCCUGGUUGUGAGAUAUCGUCACUCAGUAGAGUGGCAUGAGUUGCUACCGCUCGAUUUAGGUGGUAGUGACGCCUGGUUUUGAGAUAUCGUCGCUCAGUAGAGUGGCAUGAGUUACUAUCGCUCGUUUAGGUGAUAGUAACGACCGAUGUGUAAAGAGUAAUUGGAUUUUCAAGUUUGGUUGUUUAUAGUGUGUGAAUACUGGUCAAUGGUUCGUGUAUUGUUAGUUGAUGAUUUAUCAUGAUGUAAUGUGAGCUCAUGUAGAGUCACAAGUAGAGCUCAUGUAGAGACACAAGUAGAGCUCAUGUAGAGACACGAGUAGAGCUCGUGUAAGAGUCACAAGUAGAGCUCGUGUAGAGUCACAAGUAGAGCUCGUGUAGAGUCACAAGUAGAGCUCGGACAGAGUCCUUUAUAGAGUCUCAUGUUAGGUCAGGAAUGACCGAGCGAACUUGGAUACUGUGCUGUGGUAUAUUGUUUCAGAUUAACACACGAGGACGUGUGUCACGCAGGAUGGCCGUGUCGGAGUUAGUUAUGAAUUAAGAAGAGAAAUUGAUCAAAUCGGAAAAUACAAUGAAGUUGCAACACUUCCAUCAUGAAGUUGCAACGCUCUGACGUCAGGUGGCGUACGAGCAGAGCGGGGUGAAGUCGGGGGAGUCACUACGGAGCCGUCGUGUCGAGCGGACGUGCACUGCCGUUCUAGUCUGGCAGUCUACCGCGAACCAUCGUCAUGAGCGGACGUGUCGAAUAAUUACGAGGAGUGCUAUAGUCGCUCACCUAUAACUUGUAGGGACGUCAAGAAAGUGUGAUCGGAAAAGAGCGCCUAGCAAGUACGUUCACAUGUCCCGAUGAUUCGGUCUGAAUAUAGGAACCAUGGGUGGUGGAGGGCAAGUAGAGGGCGAGUAGCCCCUUCGCGCUAACGUCCUUAUGCGCGCUAGAUAACGAGAGACUGUGUAACCGUUACGAAUACCGUGACGUUGCCGUGAGUGUGUACCUUAUGCUGUGACUUUAUUUAAUCGUGAUACAAAAACUAUGUGGAAGUAAAUAAAAUGAUUGUGAUACUGA
RNAcentral lists this long non-coding RNA (3824 nucleotides) under Pectinophora gossypiella (pink bollworm). RNAcentral describes it as "uncharacterized LOC126366678". The record is from RNAcentral. Lineage: Eukaryota; Metazoa; Arthropoda; Insecta; Lepidoptera; Gelechiidae.